Molecule: unclassified non-coding RNA, 200 nt
Filed under: soil metagenome
Description: partial internal transcribed spacer 1
Source: RNAcentral
UGUCGGUAGGUGAACCUGUCGACAGAUCAUUGGUGGAUUUCCGGGGUUGCGCCCCGGGUGCUGUCUAUUCCGGGAUUGGCAGUGCGAAUCCUAGGCGUGAGUUUUGGAUUGUUUGGAUUGGGUCUGGGAUGCCACACCCCUUCCAGGUGCACAGAGUAAAAAAAGAUUGACAACUGCCAGCAAGGGAUCAUUCGGCUUUC